GCUCAGCGGUGUCGCAGCUGUCUGCCGGGCUUCCUGCACCCACCCUGGCAUCCAUCCUGGAAAUAGCUGAGGUUGGACCCAGUAAGAAGGGCGGGAAACCGGAGAAGAAUCGUCGUCAGCAAGGAAGACCAAAUUAUCCCCACCAGUGGGGACCACCGGGGUUCCAGGCAAGUAAAGACAACUCAGCUGCAGGUGGGAAGCGUAGAGACUGACAUGGAAAAUCCACGCACGCUGACGGCUUCUGACCGGGAGGGAAAUGUUCAGAUUCUGUUUCACCGUAAGGUCUUCACGUUUUUGGAUGAUGUGUUUUGCAGAUUUUUUUCUUCUCUUAACGUCUAGUGAUUUGCAAGCACCGAAAUAAUACAGCAGGACCUUUUA
Neofelis nebulosa (Clouded leopard) is the source of this 378-nucleotide long non-coding RNA. RefSeq lists it as uncharacterized. Lineage: Eukaryota; Metazoa; Chordata; Mammalia; Carnivora; Felidae. The transcript is spliced from 2 exons. The record is from RefSeq and is a predicted model, not a curated record.